Molecule: ribosomal RNA, 115 nt
Filed under: Cordylochernes scorpioides
Lineage: Eukaryota; Metazoa; Arthropoda; Arachnida; Pseudoscorpiones; Chernetidae
Source: RNAcentral
ACGGCCAUACCACAUUGAAAACACCGGUUCUCGUCCGAUCACCAAAGUUAAGCAAUGUCGGGCCCGGUCAGUACUUGGGAGGGUGACUACUUGGGAACACCGGGUGCUGUAGGCU